ACGGGAUUAGAUACCCCCGGUAGUCCACGCUGUAAACGAUGGAUGCUAGCAGUGUGCCGUAUCGACCCGGUGCGUUGCGAAGCUAACGCAUUAAGCAUCCCGCCUGAGUAGUACGAUCGCAAGAUUAAAACUCAAAGGAAUUGACGGGGACCCGCACAAGCGGUGGAGCGUGUUGUUUAAUCGGAUGGUAAGCCUAGAACCUUACCAGGGUUUGACAUCCUUGGAAUUUCGCCGAAAGGUGAGAGUGCUUUAUUGAGCCAAGUGACAGGUGAUGCAUGGCCGUCGUCAGCUCGUGUCGUGAGAUGUUUGGUUAAGUCCAUCAACGAGCGCAACCCUUAUGGUUAGUUGGAUUUUUCUAGCCAGACUGCCUCGGUAACGGGGAGGAAGGAGGGGAUGAUGUCAGGUCGUUAUUUCCCUUACACCCUGGGCUACAAACGCGCUACAAUGGCCGGUACAAUGGGCAGCCAAGCUGUGAAGCGGAGCAAAUCCCAUCAAAGCCGGUCCCAGUUCGGAUAAGAGGCUGAAACUCGCCUCUUUGAAGUCGGAAUCGCUAGUAAUCGCAGGUCANGCACACUGCGGUGAAUACGUUCCCGGGUCUUGUACACACCGCCCGUCAAGCCAUGAAAGUCACCAACACCCGAAGUCUGAAUUUAUUUCGGCCUAAGGUGGGGGGGAUAAUUGGGGUU
RNAcentral lists this ribosomal RNA (686 nucleotides) under uncultured Candidatus Saccharibacteria bacterium. RNAcentral describes it as "bacterial SSU rRNA". It matches the Rfam family "Bacterial small subunit ribosomal RNA", at positions 772 to 1482 of the family's 1533-position model. Lineage: Bacteria; Candidatus Saccharimonadota. The record is from RNAcentral.